UCCGAACUUCCGGGACUCUCUCUUCCUGGCUCCGGACGCUUAGACUAGUCUUCCUUUCCGGAAUGCCCAUUGAAUUCUGGGAGUUGUAGUUCUGCUCCAUCAAGAGCUUUUUCUUGGCGCCCCAAACUUUAAAAAUCGGACAGUUUUUAGCUCAGAACCAGCCAAUCGGCAGUUACGGUGCUGUGAGGUAAGCUGUAGCUAGGGUGAUUCUCUUGGACUCCUCCAGAGAUGGACCGCGCGCCUCCUAGUGCUUGGAGCGACCCUUUACUGAGUGAUCCGGCUGUGGCCGACCUCAGCUGCUCAAUUGACUGUGAAGAAAAUGACGUGUGGAUGGAAGUGGACAAGGCUGCCCGAGCAGGAGAAUCUGGUGGUCAGAUGGGAAUUGGGAUCUCCGCAAGCGGAGAGGGGUUUGGGAAUGUUCAAAACAAUCUCCCCUUCCCGGCGAUUGAACCCAGGGCCUCAAGCAGACUUUGUGUGUACGAGCAAAGGCCUCUGCCACCUUGCGGUUCCGCCCUCCAUAGCAGGUAGUGAUAAGAUCAGCAACGCCGCAGCUCUCCAGGAAGGUGGCAGAGGACACAGAACCACGACAGAAGAGCUUGGCAAAGGCGAUCAUCUCCAUGAGCCCCAGCCGGAUCACUGCUGCCUUGGUGUUGUCACCAAAGCCAAGCCCAUCACAGAAGCCAGCCCCAACGGCCACUAUAUUCUUUGAGGAAUAGAGGUCACGGGUGAGAAAGUUUCCUCUCUAGUGACUCCCUGUGUUAUCAUAUCAGCCAUGACACGCCCACUAAAUGAAGUAUGACAUGGCCUCUUACA
Molecule: non-coding RNA, 813 nt
Organism: Cricetulus griseus (Chinese hamster)
Lineage: Eukaryota; Metazoa; Chordata; Mammalia; Rodentia; Cricetidae
Source: RefSeq, a predicted model, not a curated record